UACGUAGGGGGCAAGCGUUGCUCGGAAUUACUGGGCGUAAAGGGUGAGUAGGCGGUCGGGCAAGUCAAGGAUGAAAUCCCGAGGCUCAACUUCGGAAUUGUUCUUGAAACUGCUCGGCUUGAGGGUAGUUGAGGAGAGCGGAAUUCCCGGUGGAGCGGUGAAAUGCGUAGAUAUCGGGAGGAACACCUGAGGCGAAGGCGGCUCUCUAAACUACUCCUGACGCUGAAUCACGAAAGCUAGGGGAGCAAACGGGAUUAGAUACC
Molecule: ribosomal RNA, 263 nt
Filed under: uncultured bacterium
Lineage: Bacteria
Description: partial 16S ribosomal RNA
Rfam family: Bacterial small subunit ribosomal RNA
Source: RNAcentral